GUCCCUAUAGUUUAGCGGUUAGAACACCGCCCUUUCACGGCGGUAGCCGGGGUUCGAUUCCCCGUGGGGACGCCA
This 75-nucleotide transfer RNA is filed under the name Chromobacterium violaceum. RNAcentral's name for it is "tRNA-Glu". It matches the Rfam family "tRNA". Rfam says of the family: Transfer RNA (tRNA) molecules are approximately 80 nucleotides in length. Their secondary structure includes four short double-helical elements and three loops (D, anti-codon, and T loops). Further hydrogen bonds mediate the characteristic L-shaped molecular structure. tRNAs have two regions of fundamental functional importance: the anti-codon, which is responsible for specific mRNA codon recognition, and the 3' end, to which the tRNAs corresponding amino acid is attached (by aminoacyl-tRNA synthetases). tRNAs cope with the degeneracy of the genetic code in two manners: having more than one tRNA (with a specific anti-codon) for a particular amino acid; and 'wobble' base-pairing, i.e. permitting non-standard base-pairing at the 3rd anti-codon position. Lineage: Bacteria; Pseudomonadati; Pseudomonadota; Betaproteobacteria; Neisseriales; Chromobacteriaceae. The record is from RNAcentral. RNAcentral also lists the same sequence under 52 other names.